AGUUGUAAUUUGCAGAGGAUGCUUCGGGUACGGGUUCCUUCCGAGUUCCCUGGAACGGGACGCCAUAGAGGGUGAGAGCCCCGUCUGGCAGGACACCCAGCCCGUGUGAAGCUCCCUCGAC
Molecule: ribosomal RNA, 121 nt
Filed under: Gibellulopsis nigrescens
Lineage: Eukaryota; Fungi; Ascomycota; Sordariomycetes; Glomerellales; Plectosphaerellaceae
Description: partial large subunit ribosomal RNA
Source: RNAcentral